Molecule: ribosomal RNA, 265 nt
Filed under: uncultured archaeon
Lineage: Archaea
Description: partial 16S ribosomal RNA
Rfam family: Archaeal small subunit ribosomal RNA
Source: RNAcentral
AGACGUCUACAUUAGACUACCCCUGUAGUCCCAGCCGUAAACGAUGCGCGUUAGGUGUAUCGACGACCACGAGUCGUCGAGGUGCCGAAGGGAAACCGUGAAACGUGCCGCCUGGGAAGUACGGUCGCAAGGCUGAAACUUAAAGGAAUUGGCGGGGAGCACCACAACAGGUGGAGCCUGCGGUUUAAUUGGACUCAACGCCGGAAAUCUCACCGGAUAAGACAGCAGAAUGAUUGCCGGGCUGAAGACUCUGCAUGACUAGCUG